RNAcentral lists this ribosomal RNA (402 nucleotides) under uncultured bacterium. Its description in RNAcentral is "bacterial SSU rRNA". It matches the Rfam family "Bacterial small subunit ribosomal RNA", at positions 355 to 771 of the family's 1533-position model. The record is from RNAcentral.
UGGGGAAUUUUGCGCAAUGGGGGCAACCCUGACGCAGCAACGCCGCGUGGAGGACGAAGGCUUUCGAGUCGUAAACUCCUGUCCUCGGGGACGAAUCAGUGACGGUACCCGGGGAGGAUGCCCCGGCUAACUCCGUGCCAGCAGCCGCGGUAAUACGGGGGGGGGCGAGCGUUGUUCGGAAUUACUGGGCGUAAAGGGCGCGUAGACGGCCUGAGAAGUUCUGGGUGAAAGUCCUCGGCUCAACCGGGGAAUUGCCUGGAAAACCAUCGGGCUGGAGUGCUGGAGAGGCCGGCGGAAUUCCUGGUGUAGCGGUGAAAUGCGUAGAUAUCAGGAGGAACACCCGAGGCGAAGGCGGCCGGCUGGACAGACACUGACGCUGAGGCGCGAAAGCCAGGGGAGCAA